This 460-nucleotide ribosomal RNA is filed under the name uncultured bacterium. RNAcentral describes it as "SSU rRNA". It matches the Rfam family "Bacterial small subunit ribosomal RNA", at positions 26 to 518 of the family's 1533-position model. The record is from RNAcentral.
AGAAUCAACGCUGGCGGCGUGCCUAACACAUGCAAGUCGCACGAGAAAGGGUAGCAAUACCUGAGUACAGUGGCGCACGGGUGAGUAACACGUGAAUAAUCUACCUCCGAGUGGGGAAUAACUGAGAGAAAUCUUAGCUAAUACCGCAUAACACUUACGAGUCAAAGCAGCAAUGCGCUUGGAGAGGAGUUCGCGGCCGAUUAGUUAGUUGGCGGGGUAAUGGCCCACCAAGACGAUGAUCGGUAUCCGGCCUGAGAGGGCGCACGGACACACUGGAACUGAAACACGGUCCAGACUCCUACGGGAGGCAGCAGUGGGGAAUUUUGCGCAAUGGGGGAAACCCUGACGCAGCAACGCCGCGUGGAGGAUGAAGCCCCUUGGGGUGUAAACUCCUUUCGAUCGGGAAGAUAAUGACGGUACCGAUAUAAGAAGCCCCGGCUAACUUCGCGCCAGCAGCCGC